GAAGUUUGGACCGUGUCUCAGUUCCAAUGUGGCCGAUCACCCUCUCAGGUCGGCUACUGAUCGUUACCUUGGUGGGCCGUUACCCCGCCAACUAGUUAAUCAGACGCAGGCCCAUCCUUAGCCGAUAAAUCUUUGGCUGUUAAAACAUGUGUCUCAACAGCAUUAUGAGGUUUUAAUCAUCGUUUCCAAUGGCUAUCCCUCUGCUAAGGGCAGGUUGCCUACGCGUUACUCACCCGUCCGCCGCUUUCCACUACACAGAAUUGUCCGAAAACGCUUCAAAGUAGCUUCUCGCUCGACUUGCAUGUAUUAGGCACGCCGCCAGCGUUCAUC
RNAcentral lists this ribosomal RNA (330 nucleotides) under uncultured Clostridiaceae bacterium. RNAcentral's name for it is "partial 16S ribosomal RNA". Lineage: Bacteria; Bacillati; Bacillota; Clostridia; Eubacteriales; Clostridiaceae. The record is from RNAcentral.